Molecule: transfer RNA, 66 nt
Filed under: Polyamia neoyavapai
Lineage: Eukaryota; Metazoa; Arthropoda; Insecta; Hemiptera; Cicadellidae
Description: tRNA-Ser
Source: RNAcentral
AAGUUACUAAAUAACUCUUUCUUAUAUUUUCAAAAUAUAUGCUUUAAUGUAAUAAGCUAAGUAACU